This 272-nucleotide ribosomal RNA is filed under the name uncultured bacterium. Its description in RNAcentral is "partial 16S ribosomal RNA". It matches the Rfam family "Bacterial small subunit ribosomal RNA", at positions 524 to 794 of the family's 1533-position model. The record is from RNAcentral.
GACGAACCCGUCCAAACGUUGUUCGGAAUCACUGGGCUUAAAGGGCGCGUAGGCGGCUUGCCAAGUCAGGGGUGAAAUCUUUCGGCUCAACCGGAAAAGUGCCUUUGAUACUGGCAGGCUUGAGGGAGGUAGGGGCCUGUGGAACUUCUGGUGGAGCGGUGAAAUGCGUUGAUAUCAGAAGGAACGCCGGUGGCGAAAGCGACAGGCUGGCCCUCUUCUGACGCUGAGGCGCGAAAGCUAGGGGAGCGAACGGGAUUAGAUACCCUUGUAGU